RNAcentral lists this ribosomal RNA (97 nucleotides) under uncultured bacterium. Its description in RNAcentral is "partial 16S ribosomal RNA". It matches the Rfam family "Bacterial small subunit ribosomal RNA", at positions 367 to 462 of the family's 1533-position model. The record is from RNAcentral.
GACAAUGGGGGCAACCCUGAUCCAGCCAUGCCGCGUGCAGGAAGACUGCCCUAUGGGUUGUAAACUGCUUUUAUACGGGAAGAAACACCACUACGUG